CGGCGAGUCCUGUACAAUCAGCUCCCUCUGAAUCCCCCAGGGCCGGAAGGCAGCAAGGGUAGGUAGGUCGUAGCGGUGUGAUAUAGGGUGCUCGCCACUU
RNAcentral lists this signal recognition particle RNA (100 nucleotides) under Sphingobacteriales bacterium. RNAcentral describes it as "signal recognition particle sRNA small type". It matches the Rfam family "Bacteroidales small SRP", at positions 9 to 102 of the family's 107-position model. From Rfam's summary of the family: The non-coding component of the signal recognition particle in Bacteroides Lineage: Bacteria; Pseudomonadati; Bacteroidota; Sphingobacteriia; Sphingobacteriales. The record is from RNAcentral.